GAUGAACGCUGGCGGCGUGCCUAAUACAUGCAAGUCGAGCGCACGGACUUGAUGCUUGUUCCACUGAUAUUAGCAGCGGACGGGUGAGUAACACGUGGGUAACCUACCUAUAAGCCUGGGAUAACUUCGGGAAACCGGAGCUAAUACCGCAUAAUAUUUUUAACCACAUGGUUCAAAAGUAAAAGACGCUCUUGCAGUCCCUUAUAGAUAGCUCCGCGCUUCUUUAGCUAGUUGGGAAGGUAACGGCCUACAAAGGCAACGAAGCAUACCCGACCUGAAGGGGGGUACGGCCACACGGGAACGGAGACCAGGUCCAGACUCCUACGGAAGGAGCAAGUAGGGAAUCUUCCGCAAUGGGGGAAAGCUUGACGGGGAAAGGCCGCGGAAUGGAGGAAGGUCUUCGGAUCGAAAAACUCGGUUAUAAAGGAAAAACAUAGGGGGAAGGAACGGUGCACAAAUUGACGGUAACUAAUCAGAAAGCCACGGCUAACUACGUG
This 497-nucleotide ribosomal RNA is filed under the name uncultured bacterium. RNAcentral describes it as "partial 16S ribosomal RNA". It matches the Rfam family "Bacterial small subunit ribosomal RNA", at positions 28 to 507 of the family's 1533-position model. The record is from RNAcentral.